GUGGGGAAUCUUGCGCAAUGGGCGAAAGCCUGACGCAGCCAUGCCGCGUGAAUGAUGAAGGUCUUAGGAUUGUAAAUUUCUUUCACCGGGGACGAUAAUGACGGUACCCGGAGAAGAAGCCCCGGCUAACUUCGUGCCAGCAGCCGCGGUAAUACGAAGGGGGCUAGCGUUGCUCGGAAUUACUGGGCGUAAAGGGCGCGUAGGCGGACAGUUUAGUCAGAGGUGAAAGCCCAGGGCUCAACCUUGGAAUUGCCUUUGAUACUGGCUGUCUUGAGUACGGGAGAGGUGAGUGGAACUCCGAGUGUAGAGGUGAAAUUCGUAGAUAUUCGGAAGAACACCAGUGGCGAAGGCGACUCACUGGCCCGUUACUGACGCUGAGGCGCGAAAGCGUGGGGAGCAAACAGGAUUAGAUACCCGUGUAGUCC
Molecule: ribosomal RNA, 425 nt
Filed under: uncultured bacterium
Lineage: Bacteria
Description: partial 16S ribosomal RNA
Rfam family: Bacterial small subunit ribosomal RNA
Source: RNAcentral